GCCAGACCUGCUCCAUGUGCCCUCGGUUCCAUGGGGCCCCACAGGGUCCCAAUGGUCCCUUGCUUCCAUGAGGCACUGAGGUGCCAUAAUGUCACCCCCUUGGUGACACAGAGCCCUGAAGGGUCAGAAUGAUCUCCAUGGUUCCAUCAGGUCCCACAGAGUCAUAAUGAUCUCUGGGUUGCAUGAAGCCCUGCUGUGUCACCACGGCCCCUUGGUUCCAUGGGCUCCAGUGGUGCCACAAUGAUCCCCUUGGUUUCAUGAGGUCCCCACAGUGUCCCAGUGAUCUCCAUGGGAAGGAAAGAACCCAGCCCCAGUGUUGCAGGGGCAGUCACCAGAGGCCAAGCCAGCCAGACUUGAUGGAAGGAAAGCCCAGAGCCCCAGUGCUUCAGGGACAGAUGAGAAGCCGCCCUCGACAUGCCAAGGUCAGCUAGACCUGUCAGGUGGUCCCCAGGAGGCCCAGCCAGCCAGACCUGUUCCCUGUUCCCUUGGUUUCGUGGGACCCCACAGUGUCCCAAUGGUCUCCUUGGUUCCAUGAGGCCCUGGAGUGUCACAAUGUUCCCCUUGCUUCUGCAGUGUCACAAUGGCCCUGUGCUUCCAUGAGGCCUUGCAAUAUCACAAUGGCUUUGUGGUUCCACAAAGCCCUGAUGUGUCACCAUGGCUCCUUGGCUCAAUGCGCCUUCGCUAUGUCACAAUGGCUCCUCUGUGACACUACAGGAUCCACAAGGUCACCAUGGACCCUUGGUUCCUUGGCACCUCCGAGUUUCACAGUGGUCUCCUUGAUUCUAUGAGGCACCACAGUGUCACAUGGCCCUUUGGUUCCAUGAGGUUUUGUAGUGUCACCGUGGUCACUGUCAGAGGCUGCAUGAGAUCAAUGUCCCGAGACACCUUGGGAUGCUCGGAAUGCCCAUGUGGGGCCAGGGCCGGGUCAGGCCUUGGCUUGUGGUGGGACAGAGCCCCGCCCCCAGCCCUGGCACAGCUGUCAAUCACAGAACAGAGGUGCAAUCACACGCUAGCACCUGCUGCCUGCCCUGACUCUGAUUGGCCAAGCCACUGGCAGUCCCACCUCAGGGGCGGACCCAUGAAGGCCCAGGGGGUUAAAAGCCAGAGCACGAGGCCAGCCCAUGCUCUGGAUCCUUCCUUCUGCUGGGGUUUCUCUGUCAGCGAUGCUGGAACCUGAACAGCUGGUACCUAUUGUUGGUGACAGAGGAUGACUGGUCAAGGCAAGCACAGUGGAGAGGUUACGUGGACUGUCCAGGGAUGAGUUCUUGGUAGGUAAGUAAAAAUAAUGCAUGCCUUAAGAAUUAAUUGGAUGAGACAACUUUAAAAGACCUUGAAACUGUAUAUUUUGGGACCAUUUUGCAGUGCUUUUCCUGCACGCUGAGCCUGGUCUGCACAGCAUGCAAAACUUUAGAUAAGAUAAAAGUAAAGAAGAAGCUGAAGACCAAAAAAGUCCUGUGCAUUUCCUUUUCCCUGGCACAGAACUACUACAGGAGGGUUUCCCCCAUCCUGGGAGCCCCCAGAAGGGCCCAAUGUAAAACAAACAUUAAUAACUGGUGCCCUGACAAUGUUUGUAAUAAGUUGUUUUUUCCAUAAAGUUGUUUACUGCAGGGUCUUGUCUUCAUUAGCCGAGCAUGUGAAAUGUGUUGGUGAAAUGACCAAUGAGGUCCACUAGUAGCAAACCAAGGUAUAAAAGAAGAGGAUUGAAUAAACUGGUAGAUUUCCGCCCUUAGCCUUCUGAGUCUGUGUCAUCUCUGACUCAAUGGUGACUUUUUGGGAUCUGUGGGG
Molecule: long non-coding RNA, 1785 nt
Organism: Passer domesticus (house sparrow)
Lineage: Eukaryota; Metazoa; Chordata; Aves; Passeriformes; Passeridae
Exons: 3
Source: RefSeq, a predicted model, not a curated record